GUGUCGGCUGGGCAUUGGCGAGCCCCCGUGGCUGUAACCCACCCGCCUUUGGGCUGUGCAGGUUCAACUCCUGCCCGACACA
Molecule: transfer RNA, 82 nt
Filed under: Planctomycetota bacterium
Lineage: Bacteria; Pseudomonadati; Planctomycetota
Description: Planctomycetes bacterium (rhizosphere metagenome) tRNA-Tyr
Source: RNAcentral